This is a long non-coding RNA of Salvia splendens (bonfire salvia), 209 nucleotides long. RefSeq lists it as uncharacterized. The transcript is spliced from 3 exons. Lineage: Eukaryota; Viridiplantae; Streptophyta; Magnoliopsida; Lamiales; Lamiaceae. The record is from RefSeq and is a predicted model, not a curated record.
GGGAGAACAAGAAUCAGAGACGGGGGAGUCUUGCAGAUGAUUAUAGGAUCAUACUCCACAAUCCAACAACACUUUAUUCUCAUAUCAAUAAGGGUACGUCCACAAGUAAAGUCGGAACGACAGAUUCAAGCUAAGGGAACUAAACAUUCAAGGUUGAGCAGCGAAGUGGUGGAGGAAGUGCUAUUGAGACAAGACAUUUAAUUCAGUCA